Molecule: ribosomal RNA, 253 nt
Filed under: uncultured bacterium
Lineage: Bacteria
Description: partial 16S ribosomal RNA
Rfam family: Bacterial small subunit ribosomal RNA
Source: RNAcentral
UACGUAGGGUGCGAGCGUUAAUCGGAAUUACUGGGCGUAAAGCGUGCGCAGGCGGUUCGUUAAGUCAGAUGUGAAAGCCCCGGGCUCAACCUGGGAACUGCAUUUGAAACUGGCGGGCUUGAGUUUGGGAGAGGGAUGCGGAAUUCCAGGUGUAGCGGUGAAAUGCGUAGAUAUCUGGAGGAACACCGGUGGCGAAGGCGGCAUCCUGGACCAACACUGACACUGAGGAGCGAAAGCCAGGGGAGCAAACGGG